UACAGAGGGUGCAAGCGUUGUUCGGAAUUAUUGGGCGUAAAGCGCGUGUAGGCGGCCAUGCAAGUCGGGUGUGAAAGCCCUCGGCUCAACCGAGGAAGAGCGCCCGAAACUGCAAGGCUUGAGUACCGGAGAGGGUGGCGGAAUUCCCCAAGUAGAGGUGAAAUUCGUAGAUAUGGGGAGGAACACCGGUGGCGAAGGCGGCCACCUGGACGGAUACUGACGCUGAGACGCGAAAGCGUGGGGAGCAAACAGG
Molecule: ribosomal RNA, 253 nt
Filed under: uncultured bacterium
Lineage: Bacteria
Also listed under: 1 other name
Description: partial 16S ribosomal RNA
Rfam family: Bacterial small subunit ribosomal RNA
Source: RNAcentral